This 351-nucleotide ribosomal RNA is filed under the name bacterium. Its description in RNAcentral is "bacterial SSU rRNA". It matches the Rfam family "Bacterial small subunit ribosomal RNA", at positions 568 to 917 of the family's 1533-position model. The record is from RNAcentral.
CGCGCAGGUGGUUCCUUAAGUCUGAUGUGAAAGCCCACGGCUCAACCGUGGAGGGUCAUUGGAAACUGGGGAACUUGAGUACAGAAGAGGAAAGUGGAAUUCCAAGUGUAGCGGUGAAAUGCGUAGAGAUUUGGAGGAACACCAGUGGCGAAGGCGACUUUCUGGUCUGUAACUGACACUGAGGCGCGAAAGCGUGGGGAGCAAACAGGAUUAGAUACCCUGGUAGUCCACGCCGUAAACGAUGAGUGCUAAGUGUUAGAGGGUUUCCGCCCUUUAGUGCUGCAGCUAACGCAUUAAGCACUCCGCCUGGGGAGUACGGCCGCAAGGCUGAAACUCAAAGAAAUUGACGGA